RNAcentral lists this ribosomal RNA (497 nucleotides) under uncultured bacterium. Its description in RNAcentral is "bacterial SSU rRNA". It matches the Rfam family "Bacterial small subunit ribosomal RNA", at positions 29 to 502 of the family's 1533-position model. The record is from RNAcentral.
AGCGAACGUUAGCGGCGGGCCUAACACAUGCAAGUCGAACGCGAAAGGUCUUCGGACUGAGUAGAGUGGCGCACGGGUGAGUAACACGUAGGUAAUCUACCCUUUGGCGGGGGAUAACGUUCCGAAAGGAGCGCUAAUACCGCAUAAGACCACGGAGUCUCCGGACGCUGUGGGAAAAGGUGGCCUCUUCUUGAAAGCUACCACCGAAGGAUGAGCCUGCGUCCCAUCAGCUAGUUGGUAAGGUAAUGGCUUACCAAGGCGAAGACGGGUAGCUGGUUUGAGAGAAUGAUCAGCCACACUGGCACUGGAACACGGGCCAGACUCCUACGGGAGGCAGCAGUGAGGAAUAUUGGGCAAUGGGCGAAAGCCUGACCCAGCCACGCCGCGUGAGUGAUGAAGGCCCGUCGGGUCGUAAAGCUCUGUGGAGAGGGACGAAAACCCUGGUUUCAAAUAGGCUCCAGGCUUGACGGUACCUCUUUAGCAAGCACCGGCUAACU